This 595-nucleotide ribosomal RNA is filed under the name Microbacterium sp. Its description in RNAcentral is "bacterial SSU rRNA". It matches the Rfam family "Bacterial small subunit ribosomal RNA", at positions 227 to 834 of the family's 1533-position model. The record is from RNAcentral. Lineage: Bacteria; Bacillati; Actinomycetota; Actinomycetes; Micrococcales; Microbacteriaceae.
GGGCUCGCGGCCUAUCAGCUUGUUGGUGAGGUAAUGGCUCACCAAGGCGUCGACGGGUAGCCGGCCUGAGAGGGUGACCGGCCACACUGGGACUGAGACACGGCCCAGACUCCUACGGGAGGCAGCAGUGGGGAAUAUUGCACAAUGGGCGCAAGCCUGAUGCAGCAACGCCGCGUGAGGGACGACGGCCUUCGGGUUGUAAACCUCUUUUAGCAGGGAAGAAGCGAAAGUGACGGUACCUGCAGAAAAAGCGCCGGCUAACUACGUGCCAGCAGCCGCGGUAAUACGUAGGGCGCAAGCGUUAUCCGGAAUUAUUGGGCGUAAAGAGCUCGUAGGCGGUUUGUCGCGUCUGCUGUGAAAUCCGGAGGCUCAACCUCCGGCCUGCAGUGGGUACGGGCAGACUAGAGUGCGGUAGGGGAGAUUGGAAUUCCUGGUGUAGCGGUGGAAUGCGCAGAUAUCAGGAGGAACACCGAUGGCGAAGGCAGAUCUCUGGGCCGUAACUGACGCUGAGGAGCGAAAGGGUGGGGAGCAAACAGGCUUAGAUACCCUGGUAGUCCACCCCGUAAACGUUGGGAACUAGUUGUGGGGUCCAUUC